AAUCGGAAGGAGCGAGGCUGAAAGAGGAUGCAAUCCAAAAGCAACGCUUUUAAAAGCUGUAACAAAUCUGCGGUUACCAAGCAACUUCACAGUUGUCACUGCGCUGCCCAUCGUGGCCGGCUGGAAUUUCACAGCAACCGUGAGGACAGAACCCAGCUCGUCCUGCUCCGGAAACACAGGCUCCCGGUGCGUGAACUGAACACAAAUCGCCUCCAGCAUCUUCAGCAGGACCCCCGAUACCCGGUGGAGGAGCUGUGCACGCGCAGACGAUCCCGGUCACUCCAGCUACAGGACCUUUUGCACCAGGCUGCCAAACCAUUUCAUGAGCAUUACUGGACUGAUGUUUACCAUUCCCAAGCUGCGUUAUCACCACUGUAUAGAUGGGGAGACUGAGGCACAGAGACUUUACUGGCAGUUCCUGGUCUCCUCUGACGGGUCCAGAGCAUCAGCAAUUCCACACAACUGUGGUGUGCAAGGAGGUGGGGAAGUGUGAGAACCCUCUUUGCAAAGCUGAAGGAACCAAGGCACAGUGGCUGCGCAGACAACAUUUACAGCCGUGGCCCAAGACUGCUUGGGCACGAUUUUCAGAUUUACCGAAGCACUUGCAACGUCCAGUGAAGUCAACAGGAGCUAUGGCUGCUUGGCCAAAGCAGGCUUUUUGCACUAAUAUUGCUUUGUUCCCUAGCCCACGCUCUCUGUACUCCCUCUCUGUGUGCACCUGGCUCUGCAUUCAGUUACAUACCUGCGAUCACUUGAGAUCCAGCCCGCAACAUCGCUAGAAUUAAGGACAAGAUUUUCAGAAGAGCUCACAUUAUUCUCAAAGGGAACUGCUGAAUGCAGAGCGCUUGCAAAUCUGGCCUCUUACAGAGGCCUGCAUCUCCCUAGAUCUUAUUCAAAUAGCUGGGGCAAGGGCAACCGAACCAAGCCUUGCCCUUAUGCAAAGAGCCAGCUUUUGUCUCGUGACCUUUUCUCAGCAUGCCCUUGUUCUAAGUUUGUUACCUGUAAUGAAAAGCUGCUGCCAUCUGCUGGUAAAUGCACCAGAGUCUCUUGGAAUAAAUGCACGACAUACACUUCUGUCAGCAGAACGCA
Alligator mississippiensis (American alligator) is the source of this 1089-nucleotide long non-coding RNA. RefSeq lists it as uncharacterized. Lineage: Eukaryota; Metazoa; Chordata; Crocodylia; Alligatoridae. The transcript is spliced from 3 exons. The record is from RefSeq and is a predicted model, not a curated record.